Long non-coding RNA from Mesocricetus auratus (golden hamster), 1310 nucleotides. RefSeq lists it as uncharacterized. The record is from RefSeq and is a predicted model, not a curated record. NCBI's taxonomy places the organism in Eukaryota, Metazoa, Chordata, Mammalia, Rodentia, Cricetidae. The transcript has 6 exons.
GCCAAGCCUGCUUCUAUGCCCAGAGACUGCUGACAGAGAGACACCUGAUCCAGAGACACCAAUGAGGAAAGGCCAACGCAGCGAGUCAGCGACCUGAGCCAAUAGGACCUUGAGGAAGGGCUAUAAAUGGAGGCCUAACUUCUUUAAUAAAUGAGUCUGCAGCAAGCUCUGCCACUCACUGACUCCUGGUGCCUGGGUCGUUGGUGCAGCAGCAUCUCACCCGCCUCCCUGAAGGGGUGUCCGAGCAAGGACUGCCAAGCGCCAAUGUCUGAAUUCUGAGUCCCAGGAGACCUGCUUUCCUCACUGGACCCCACAAGAAUUCAUAGAGGACACUGGCCUUCAGGGUUAAACUCUUUAAAUCCAAGAGCAUCGAGAGAAGUUCUAUAAAGAGGGUGCUCUCACCCAGAACCUGGCAAGUUCUCUCCAGGUGAUGAGUGGAAGCCAUGUUCCUUACACACUGGCCAUCCUCCAUUACAUUGUUCUCAACCCACCCAGAGAGAUUAUAUUAUUGAUAAAACAGGUAAGAACUCCUAUGCCCUUGUCUCCGCAUACAUGGUGUUAGUAAUAUUACAGAAGCUGACCACACCCCCUAGUUAUGAGCUUCUCAAAGAGUUCUAAAGGAAGAGAGGCCCGAGGGAGAGAGAAUAACAACUCUUGAAAUGCCAUCGGUAGAGUCACCAGUACUAAUGUGACAGCCAUGACUGACAAUGAAGUCAGUUUCAUUCAACCUUAAAGACAGUUUUGCGAUGGUUGAGCAUACAUGCGCACACAGAACCUGAAUAUCUCAAAGCAGAUUUUCCUCGGCCACUGUGAGGAAGACUUGCAUGGCCCCUGGUCUUCCUUCUGGACAUUUCUUCUAUUUGACGAGCAGCAGACCCCGUGGGAAGUUUGCCGGAAUCCUCUAAGGAGAACUAACUCUGAGGGAAUCCAUUACUGUGUGCAGUUGUCUUCAUUUCCUUCCAGAAAAAAGGCUGCUGGGUUUGUUGCUGUUGUUUUUAAACUAAGGACUUUGAAGAUAUCUCUCAGUUUGUAAAAUGCUUGCUGAAGUACUUCCUGGGCAAGCAAUGGAGACCCGUGUUCAGGCCCUACUUAGAACUCAGACAAUGUGAAGAGUUUUGCAGCUCCAAUUUAUGUUCCUAUGUCAUCUAAGAGGCCAAGAAAGUUCAAAUCCUAUGGGUCUUCCAGUCCAGCAGGAGUGGCAGAAUUGACAAAUAAAACUUUAUUCCACACAUUCGAAGACAAGCCAUCACUGGAGGAUUAUAGCUCUGUUGUGUGCUUCUUUCCAAAAUAGCAAAAUAAAAAUUGUUGUC